CGGGGAAACCGACAAAAGGUAUCCAGCUGCCGGGAACAACGAGCCACGCCAACUGCGUAUCAGCCAAUGGGGAGAAGCCAACUCGCCGACACCAGUACCGGGAUCACGAGGUGGAUCCGGAGCCACUGCAGGACCGGUUAGGGGGUCUACUAUCACCGAUUCUUCCUCAUGAGAUCACUGUGAAAUACUAUAAGGCUGCAUCAGACACAUCUUGCAGAGAAAGGUGUGUCUUGAAUGCUGAUUGGGAGAGAGAUGCAGGCAAAGUCACCGUUAAUGGGAAGUCACCUCCUCUGGUGUCUCAUAUCCUUAAAUCGCUGUGAGGGAGGACAAGCUGCGUCAGUUUCCUCUGUAGAGCUGACACGAGACUUCACACACACGCUGAGCCUGCCCAGACAAGACAACCCCCUAGCACCUCAUCCAGGGCAAGAAGCUCCAUGUCUGUGUGGUCAGGAGUCCAGACCCAUCGAGCCCACUGAACAACCACAUUUUCCUCUGUCACAUGGACAGUGGUAAGUCCAUCAAGCCAGGAUGGCUACAGGGAUCACAAACCAGUUCUGAGACCCACUGCCAAUGUCUCAGAUCUCAGCUCAAACCGAGAGCCCCAAUCCCCACUGUGAGCGCAGCCCUGCAGGGGGAAGGUUGCCGGGGCAGCUCAGAGAAAGAAGCAUCACUGUGGGGUGUGUGGGCAUCUGCUGCUGGCUGGGUGUCUUGGCUGUCUUCUACCCGCUGAUUGCCUUGGGAGUUGUAUAUGGCAGAUAUUGUGACUGGAGAGUGCUAUAAUGUGUGGGGCAAAGAAAUGGACAUGGAUGACCCAUGUGUAUUAGAGAAUGUGAACUUAAAGGAAUGUACUAGUAGUUGUCCAUGUUUUAUCAAAUUAUUUAUGAAUUACGUAUACAUUUCUGAUAUUUUUCAUAGCAUAUCAUAUGAUAGUUUUUAGACUCAUUUCUUAUCUUUCACAUACUGUAUGAAAAAGAACUUGCAGAGAAGUUGAAUUUGCUUGAGAGGCAAUCCAUUGCAAUGCACACUUCACUGCCUUUAUUUUAAGACGCACAUUUGAAGUACCUACACCUACUGCAGUUGGGAGCGGGGACAGUAUUCAAAAUCUCUGCUUGAGGUGUAAGCAAGCAAGCAAGCAAGCAAGCAAAGCCUUAUUUCAUUCCAGGUGGAAGCACAAUGUGCUGUAUAAAGCCUGAGCUACCACUGAAAUUGCAACCACAAAAACUAUAUUUUCAAGGAACCCCCAGCAUUCAAGAAUUAAUAGUGGCAGUCCAUUAUUAUUGCAUUCACCAGUUUUCUUACUGGAAAAAGGAAACCUCGAAGACAAACAGUGACACCAACUGACCAAUACACGACAUGAAUGUGUUUAUUGCAUUACUGCAAUGAAGCAGUACACUGUAUAAAAACAAUGUAUUUAGUAAGUCUGUGAGGUGAGUGAUUUUUGUGGAAUACUAAAAAUCAAACCAGUUGCUUUGUGAAUCUUCAUCUGAAUAGAACAUGCACAGAAUGCUUUGAAAAACUGACACAAUCAGGAAAUUACUGGGAUAAAACCAAAGGCUUUAUCCUACCAUGCAGUGGUACACCUGCUUGUCACGUGAAAGCCAAGUGAGAAAAUAAAUUUACCUUGUCAGCAAUACUGAUGUUCUAAAGAACCCCUUUGGUGCCAUUCAUACUAUGUCUGAUUCACUAUCAUCUGUGUGAAGAGUAACUAUAAAUUGUAUAGCACUCCUAAAAAUGUACGCUUUAAUGUCAUGUGCGCCACCUUGUGGCAUGAUAGUAAAGUGCUUGUAAUGAAGUUCAAGAAUAUGAAGUCAAUUUGCUUUUUACAUAACCUCUAGUUAACUGUGUACAUGCUGCUAUUUAAUCCAAAACUGCCUAAUAUUCAACUAUAACCGUCAGAUCAACAUAAUUUAAUUUAGUGUUCACACCCAGUGUUGAAAACAAUAACCAUGUACAUUUAAUCAAAAACUAUAGUUGAGCAAUUUAUGUCACUUGAGAAUUUCCAUUUUAAGGUACUUUUUAUUUCUACUCCUCUAUAUUUUGGAGAGAAAUAUUGUUGUUCUUACUAUGCAGCAUUUUUUGUCAGCUAUAGUUACUAGUUACUUUGCACCUUCCAGUAUCAGAGUAUUUUUGAUGCUGUUUUUUGGUACUUUUACUUAAGUAAAGGAACUGAUUCCUUCAUUCAUCAGUGACCUCACCAAAGAAAAGUGACCAAAAAAAAAAAAAAUCAGUCUGCAUUGUGGAUCAAUGUUAAAGCCUGUUAUUCAUUGCAAACAUUUAUUACAUUUUUUAUGAUGCAAACAACAGCAAGUCCCACCCUUGUUGGAACAGCUCAUCACGUAGUCAUGAGGGAAUGAAAGAGACACAAAGGGACAGGGACAGAAAAAGUGUGUAUUACGCGCAAUUCCAUUGUUUCCUUUAAAAAAACAUGACAAUCAGCUCUCAUUGUAAAUUUGGCAUCUUCUUUCCUACUGUUGUACUCUCUGGAAUAAUGGUCAUUAAAAAUCAAAAGAACAAGGCAUGCAUAAUAGUUUCUGGUAAUGCACAUAGAUCAAAGGAUACCACUUAUAAAUACAAAAUCCAUGUACGAUGUUCGUGUACAUUUCAUAUAUACAUGGUCCCUUUCUUAGAGGUGUCAUAGGUCUAUCUACCUGCUCCCACUAUGGGAUUGUGUCCUCUGUUAUCUACGCUUGGUCACUAGAUUCACCCUGUAAAAAGGUCUGCGCUGCAAAUUACAUCUGUAGGAUGAACAAUUAAUAUCAACGACUACUAGAUGUUACAACCAUCGGUUUAUUCCUCCCUUCAUCUCUUACUGCAUGUUAUUAUCAAGCUAUUUACUCAAAAGCUUCAUUUACUUAAAUAGUUUUCUUUGCAUCAACUGACCAUUGUGCUAUCUACAUGAUUCCAUCAAACCUCGCUGGGGUUAUAGCCAGUAUUAUUUUUCUAUUAAAAUUCUCCUCCCAUUGCUUUACUACCACCCCAUGCUUCUCUUUAAAAAAGGGAGCCCACAGUUAACGUAGAUCCAUUCAAUGCUACUGUGCCCACAAGAUAUAAGUCUGGAACAAAGUAUUUUAACUUCCAAGUAACCUAAAUAAAUGGAUCACUAAGGUAAAUGCACUGGUCCAUUUUAAUAAAUGAGUGAAACAGCCACACGUCUAUAGUGAGGGCUGUAUACGUGGCCACACAUUUUAUUUAUUGAAAUUAUGUAGAAAAAAAAGGAAAAGAAAACAAAAAACAAAAAAAAGGGACUAACCAAAACGCAGUGAUUAAAUACAAUGUUGAAUGAAUGUCUUUACUGUUAAAAAAAAAAAAAAAGUGUACUGCAA
Long non-coding RNA from Seriola dumerili (greater amberjack), 3323 nucleotides. RefSeq lists it as uncharacterized. The record is from RefSeq and is a predicted model, not a curated record. The transcript has 4 exons. NCBI's taxonomy places the organism in Eukaryota, Metazoa, Chordata, Actinopteri, Carangiformes, Carangidae.